UGAGGAAUAUUGCACAAUGGACGCAAGUCUGAUGCAGCAACGCCGCGUGGAGGAUGAAGGUCUUUGGAUCGUAAACUCCUUUUCUCAGGGAAGAGAAUGGACGGUACCUGAGGAAUAAGUCACGGCUAACUACGUGCCAGCAGCCGCGGUAAUACGUAGGUGGCAAGCGUUAUCCGGAAUUACUGGGCGUAAAGCGCACGCAGGCGGUCUUUUAAGUUUGACGUGAAAGCUCCCGGCUUAACUGGGAGAGGUCGUUGAAGACUGGAAGACUUGAGGCAAUGAGAGGGGUGUAGAAUUCCCGGUGUAGUGGUGGAAUGCGUAGAUAUCGGGGGGAAUACCAGUGGCGAAAGCGGCACCCUAGCGUUAGCCUGACGCUCAUGUGCGAAAGCGUGGGGAGCGAACGG
This 404-nucleotide ribosomal RNA is filed under the name uncultured bacterium. Its description in RNAcentral is "bacterial SSU rRNA". It matches the Rfam family "Bacterial small subunit ribosomal RNA", at positions 355 to 775 of the family's 1533-position model. The record is from RNAcentral.